ACUCCGGUUGAUCCUGCCGGACCCGACUGCUAUCGGAUUGGGAUUUAGCCAUGUUAGUUGUGCGUGCUUGGCUACAGGCACGCAGCGUACGGCUCAGUAACACGUAGUCAACCUGCCCUGGAGACGCGGACAAACCCGGGAAACUGGGGCCUAUCCGCGAUAGAUGGCCUCAUCUGGAAGGAGGGGCCGUCCAAAAGGGCGCACGGGUAUGCUCUGUGCGAACCGCUCCAGGAUGGGACUGCGGCCGAUCAGGCUGUUGGCGGGGUAAUGGCCCACCAAACCUGUAACCGGUACGGGCUUUGAGAGAAGGAGCCCGGAGAUGGACACUGAGACAAGGGUCCAGGCCCUACGGGGCGCAUCAGGCGCGAAACCUUCGCAAUGCGCGAAAGCGUGACGAGGCUAGUCCGAGUGCCGCCUGCUAAAGGUGGCUUUUCUCGGCUGUAAAAAGGCCGGGGAAUAAGGGGAGGGCAAGUCUGGUGUCAGCCGCCGCGGUAAUACCAGCUCCUCGAGUGGUCGGGACGAUUAUUGGGCCUAAAGCACCCGUAGCCGGUUCCGUAAGUCCUCUGUCAAAUCCAGCUGCUCAACGGCUGGCCCGCAGAGGAUACCGCGGAACUAGGAGGCGGGAGAGGCGGACGGUACUCCGCGUGUAGGGGUAAAAUCCUUUGAUCCGCGGAAGACCACCAGUGGCGAAGGCGGUCCGCCAGAACGCGCUCGACGGUGAGGGGUGAAAGCUGGGGGAGCGAACCGGAUUAGAUACCCGGGUAGUCCCAGCCGUAAACGAUGCGAGCUAGAUGAUUCGAUCGCAGUUCGCGAUCGAAGUGUCGCAGGGAAGCCGUUAAGCUCGCCGCCUGGGGAGUACGGUCGCAAGGCUGAAUCGUAGGAAGCUACUUCUUUCUACGCAGUUCACUUAAAGGAAUUGGCGGGGGAGCACCACAAGGGGUGAAGCCUGCGGUUCAAUUGGAGUCAACGCCAGGAAACUUACCAGGAGCGACAGCAGUAUGAGAGUCAGGCUGAAGACUUUACUUGACGAGCUGAGAGGAGGUGCAUGGCCGUCGCCAGCUCGUGCCGUGAGGCGUCCUGUUAAGUCAGGCAACGAGCGAGACCCUUGCCGAUAAUUGCUAGCCGUGGUAGCAAUACCGCGGAGGCUAGUUAUCGGGACUGCCGCUGCUAAAGCGGAGGAAGGAGAGGGCCACGGCAGAUGGCUGCAGCGAGCAGAGGGAUGGCCAUCCCGAAGAAUCCUACCGUCUGCAGCGGCUU
This 1257-nucleotide ribosomal RNA is filed under the name Nitrososphaerota archaeon. Its description in RNAcentral is "bacterial SSU rRNA". It matches the Rfam family "Archaeal small subunit ribosomal RNA", at positions 1 to 1204 of the family's 1478-position model. The record is from RNAcentral. Lineage: Archaea; Thermoproteati; Nitrososphaerota.